This 1364-nucleotide long non-coding RNA is filed under the name Eucalyptus grandis. RNAcentral describes it as "long non-coding RNA (EGRA_LNC002861)". Lineage: Eukaryota; Viridiplantae; Streptophyta; Magnoliopsida; Myrtales; Myrtaceae. The record is from RNAcentral.
UUUUUUUUCUUUCUGUAUUUUCUUCCUCUCUCUCUCUCUCUCUCUUCUCUUUUCCCUCUCCCGAAAACGCUCGAUUUCUCUCUCUCUGCUGAAGCUUCUACCUUUUUCCUUUUUUUUUUUUUUUACCGGGUCAAAACCCAUAUUUUACAGAAACUUCCUCGGCAUCACAUCCUGAGGUCUGUUUCUUUCCCUUCUGCGUUCUUUUGCACUUCGCUCUCUUCUCCACAAUUAAGGUUUCAACAUCGGUAAGUGAGGCCAUGGAUUUUCGCUUCAGUUGGGCAGGAACGAUUUCUUGAGAAGGGUCGCCAACUUCCUUCGUGUUCUGAUCAGGCGCGACGGGGAAGACCUCGCGAGACACCACCACUCCUGCAGACGGAAGUACCUCUGGCUCCUUCGUCACGAUCCUUCUCCUGAUCGUGCAGAGAAGAAAGGCACGAGGAAGAGUCCAUCGACGGCGGCGAGUGGACCUCGCUUCUCAGGUGGUCGCCAACGGGCUUCUGCUCGUGAUCUUGCAGAUAAGAAACGCGCGAUGAUGAAGAGUCCAUCAAUGGCGGCGAGCGGACAUCACCUCUCAGGAUGUUGCCGAUGGCAGGUGAUCUGGGGCCCAAGAAAUCGAUGAGCUUCAUGGGUUUCUGGUGAAAAAAACAGGAAAGUGCUUCGCAAGAACAACAUAGGGCAACGCGGUUCAGGGGAAUUUUGAGAGAGCGAAAGAGAGAAAGACAACGUUGGAGAGAAUAGAGAGGAAAAUAUAUAGUUUACCGUUGGAAUUAUGAUGGAUUUGUAGUCGAAUUUUGAGAGUGCGCUGAGUGAGAGUUGCAUUCCUAAUUUGAGUCAGGUUAAGAUUAGUAAAAUAGGAAAUAAUUUCAAGAUUCCAGAUUCAUUUCCUAAUUUGUUACAUUAUUUUCAUCAUGCAAUAGGACGGAACUUAAAGGCUUGAAAAAAAUUGAUUUAUUUUAACAAAAGAAAGAAUUUUAAAUGUAUAUAAUAUUGAGCUUAUAGAAUUUUAAAUGUAUAUAAUAAUGAGCAUAUAAAAAACACGGGUAGUUACAUUACAAAAUAUUACACAAAAUAAAGAAAAUAGACGGGGUCGGAAAGGGAUGCUCUAAGCUUGUUUUAUAUUUGUCUUCUUCGUUUUUUAAUCAAUUUGUUCACAUUUUUUGAGUGGGACACUUUCUUGUUCUAGUUAAAUUAUAUGUACCCUAUAAGGUUUUAGUUGAAUACGUUGUGGGAUGAUAUAACAAAAAAUCCUAAAUUAUGCAUAUUGUAACAUCAAUACUCCAUUCUUUUCUUUUCGUAACAUCAAUAAUCUUGAAUUAGUAUUUCUUUUGGGGGGAGUUUGUAAUCCUUAGAAAAAUUUUUAUCGU